RNAcentral lists this ribosomal RNA (240 nucleotides) under uncultured Ralstonia sp. RNAcentral's name for it is "partial 16S ribosomal RNA". It matches the Rfam family "Bacterial small subunit ribosomal RNA", at positions 112 to 354 of the family's 1533-position model. Lineage: Bacteria; Pseudomonadati; Pseudomonadota; Betaproteobacteria; Burkholderiales; Burkholderiaceae. The record is from RNAcentral.
AAUACAUCGGAACGUGCCCUGUAGUGGGGGAGUAACUAGUCGAAAGAUUAGCUAAUACCGCAUACGACCUGAGGGUGAAGUGGGGACCGCAAGGCCUCAUGCUAUAGGAGCGGCCGAUGUCUGAUUAGCUAGUUGGUGAGGUAAAGGCUCACCAAGGCGACGAUCAGUAGCUGGUCUGAGAGGACGAUCAGCCACACUGGGACUGAGACACGGCCCAGACUCCUACGGGAGGCAGCAGAC